CCAGGACUACAUAUCCCACAGUUCAUAGGGUUGUGUUAAAUUUGAAAAGCUUCACCAGGGUGUUCAGGUCGCAAACGAGCUGUGGACAUGCACGGGACAGGUGACGCGCGCCAGGAGAGCUGUUAAGACGCACGACGUGAAGAACAGGACAGGACACGCACCCUUGACAGCACGACAGACAUGUCAGACUCCGAGACCGCCGCCGCCGCCCCCGCCGAGGCCCCCGUCCCUGCUGCUUGUGCCAGCAUCAAGGCUGACCUGGACAAAUGUGUGGCAGAGAAGGGAGCCGAGGGCUGCAAAGAUCUGAUGGAGGCCUUUGCUGCCUGUGUGAAGAGUGCAGCUGAGGGGACGUCAUGAGGAAGCGCCCUCUAACCUCAAAUGUCCACUGCACUGAGUCCUCCAAGUUCCCAGCAUUCCCUUCUGCACGACAGCUCUGGACUGGGUGAUGACAACAACGAUGAUGAUGAUGAUGAUGGCGUGACAAACAUUGUGUUGAUUCGGGCUGAAUUUUGGAUCUGGCGGCAGUAAUCACAGUUUCCUCCCCCCUGUGUUCCCCUCUGGUUUAGGCUUAUUUGGUGUCCCUCAGUCCCCCCCUCCCCCCUUCUCCUACGGCUGGCGUACAGCACAUCGACUUGUAGACAGUUCCAGAGAGCUGAUGGGCUGUGAUGUAAAUUGUCAACUUGAGAUGAAUACUUAUAAAUGGAAAUAAAAGUAUCGAAUACUUGGUAUAAAAA
Scatophagus argus is the source of this 734-nucleotide long non-coding RNA. RefSeq lists it as uncharacterized. The transcript has 4 exons. NCBI's taxonomy places the organism in Eukaryota, Metazoa, Chordata, Actinopteri, Scatophagidae. The record is from RefSeq and is a predicted model, not a curated record.